CUCGGACAGUGUCUGGUGGGUAGUUUGACUGGGGCGGUCUCCUCCCAAAGAGUAACGGAGGAGCACGAAGGUUUGCUAAUGACGGUCGGACAUCGUCAGGUUAGUGCAAUGGUAUAAGCAAGCUUAACUGCGAGACAGACAAGUCGAGCAGGUACGAAAGUAGGUCAUAGUGAUCCGGUGGUUCUGAAUGGAAGGGCCAUCGCUCAACGGAUAAAAGGUACUCCGGGGAUAACAGGCUGAUACCGCCCAAGAGUUCAUAUCGACGGCGGUGUUUGGCACCUCGAUGUCGGCUCAUCACAUCCUGGGGNNNNNNNNNNUCAUGAGACAGUUCGGUCCCUAUCUGCCGUGGGCGUUGGAGAAUUGAUUGGGGCUGCUCCUAGUACGAGAGGACCGGAGUGGACGCACCACUGGUGUUCCGGUUGUGUCGCCAGACGCAUUGCCGGGUAGCUAAGUGCGGAAGAGAUAAGUGCUGAAAGCAUCUAAGCACGAAACUUGCCAAGAGAUGAGUUCUCCCUGUUUUUAAGACAGUAAGGGUUGUUUAAGACUAAGACGUAGAUAGGUCUGGUGUGUAAGCGGUGCGAGCCGUUGAGCUAACAGAUACUAAUUGCCCGAGAGGCUUAACUAUACAACGCUCAAGGGUUUUG
This 644-nucleotide ribosomal RNA is filed under the name Haemophilus sp. RNAcentral's name for it is "partial 23S ribosomal RNA". It matches the Rfam family "Bacterial large subunit ribosomal RNA", at positions 2246 to 2925 of the family's 2925-position model. The record is from RNAcentral. Lineage: Bacteria; Pseudomonadati; Pseudomonadota; Gammaproteobacteria; Pasteurellales; Pasteurellaceae.